ACGGGUGAGUAAUACAUCGGAACGUGCCCUGUAGUGGGGGAUAACUAGUCGAAAGAUUAGCUAAUACCGCAUACGACCUGAGGGUGAAAGUGGGGGACCGCAAGGCCUCAUGCUAUAGGAGCGGCCGAUGUCUGAUUAGCUAGUUGGUGAGGUAAAGGCUCACCAAGGCGACGAUCAGUAGCUGGUCUGAGAGGACGAUCAGCCACACUGGGACUGAGACACGGCCCAGACUCCUACGGGAGGCAGCAGUGGGGAAUUUUGGACAAUGGGGGCAACCCUGAUCCAGCAAUGCCGCGUGUGUGAAGAAGGCCUUCGGGUUGUAAAGCACUUUUGUCCGGAAAGAAAUCGCACUUACUAAUAUUAGGUGUGGAUGACGGUACCGGAAGAAUAAGGACCGGCUAACUACGUGCCAGCAGCCGCGGUAAUACGUAGGGUCCAAGCGUUAAUCGGAAUUACUGGGCGUAAAGCGUGCGCAGGCGGUUGUGCAAGACCGAUGUGAAAUCCCCGGGCUUAACCUGGGAAUUGCAUUGGUGACUGCACGGCUAGAGUGUGUCAGAGGGGGGUAGAAUUCC
This 572-nucleotide ribosomal RNA is filed under the name uncultured bacterium. RNAcentral's name for it is "bacterial SSU rRNA". It matches the Rfam family "Bacterial small subunit ribosomal RNA", at positions 102 to 670 of the family's 1533-position model. The record is from RNAcentral.